GCUGCCUCACUGAAGACUUGCAAGUGUGGCUGGUGUGCUGUGUUUGCAAAAUAGAGAGGCAGAGAGAGAGAGAAAGCAGCUAUGUCUACGCUCAGUACCCUGUCAGCAGUGGGUACUCAGAAUGAUUGAUAGCUGUACAGU
Molecule: small nucleolar RNA, 141 nt
Organism: Protopterus annectens (West African lungfish)
Lineage: Eukaryota; Metazoa; Chordata; Ceratodontiformes; Protopteridae
Product: small nucleolar RNA SNORA17
Exons: 1
Source: RefSeq, a predicted model, not a curated record